Helianthus annuus (common sunflower) is the source of this 624-nucleotide long non-coding RNA. RefSeq lists it as uncharacterized. The record is from RefSeq and is a predicted model, not a curated record. Lineage: Eukaryota; Viridiplantae; Streptophyta; Magnoliopsida; Asterales; Asteraceae. The transcript is spliced from 4 exons.
UGACAGGUUAUGUAUGAUGCAACUGGUGUGCGAUUGGUAGCUGGACGCCAAGUCGACGACUGUUAUUUCUCGGGUGUGAUCUAUAGUAUGAUGGCAGUGGUUGUUGGAGGAGUCUAAAAGCAAAGAUCAAAGCCGCACAUUCUUAUGCAUUCCCAGAUUCUUCAACGUUGGUAGCACUGGAUGAGCGACCAAAUCUAGAAGUACAUGGUUGAAAAGAGGUGAACAGCUGGGUUGAAAAGAGGGAAUAGUGGUCAACAGUGGUCAGAAAGGUGAAAAGAGGGAACAGCUGUCCGAACUCAGCUUGGUUGAAAAGAGGGAACAAUGGUCAACAGUGGUCAGAAGGUUGAAAAGAGGUGAACAGUGGUCAGAAUUCAGCAGUAUGCUGAAAAGAGGUGAACAGAGUAGAGGAGAUGAUACAAGAAAGUCAUAAGCGAACGGAUGUAUUGGUAAAACAGGAAGAGAUACAAGAGACUCCCCACACUUUUGUUUUUAUUGUUUUGUCCAGCUACUUGACUGUUUUGAACUCUUCUUGUUUUUAAUUACAUCUACUUCCUUGUUUUGUACUCUUCUUGUAGAAGAUCACCAAAGAAUCGAUAAACUAACAGAAAAACCAGUGCCAUCAUA